AAUUGAGGCCUGGCGGCAUGGCUAAGCAUGCAAGUCUGGGAGAACCUUCGGGGGAAACCGGCGAAAGGGCGAGUAAUGCGAUCGAACGUACCCCAAUGUGGGGGAUAGCGUCGGGAAACUGGCAGUAAUAUCCCGUGUGCUCUACGGAGGAAGUUGGGAGCGGCGAUCGUCCUAUCAGGUUGUUGGCGGGGUAAAGGCCCACCAAGCCGAAGACGGGUAGCGGGUGUGAGAGCAUGGCCCGCCGCAUCGGGACUGAGACACUGCCCGGACUCCUACGGGAGGCUGCAGCGACGAAUCUUCCGCAAUGCGCGAAAACGUGACGGAGCAAUGCCGCGUGUAGGAUGAGGGCGCUCUGCGUCGUAAACUACUGCCAGACCCUAGAACCAACGAUCAGGGUCAGAGGAAGGGCCGGCUAAACUCGUGCCAGCAGCCGCGGUAAUACGAGUGGCCCAAGCGUUAAUCGGAAUCACUGGGCUUAAAGCGUGCGCAGGCGGACCUUCAGGCGUCCCGUGAAAUACCCCGGCUCAACCGGGGAAUGGCUGGGCGAACCGUUGGUCUUGAGGCAGGUAGGGGGGUGCAGAACUGUCGGUGGAGCGGUGAAAUGCGUAGAUAUCGUCAGGAAUGCCGAAGGCGAAGGCGGCACCCUGGGCCUGUCCUGACGCUCAUGCACGAAAGCGUGGGGAGCAAACAGGAUUAGAUACCCCGGUAGUCCACGCCGUAAACGAUGCACACUAGAUCGGAGUAGGUCUGACCCUUUUCCGGUCGAAGCGAAAGCGUUAAGUGUGCCGCCUGGGGGAGUACGGUCGCAAGGCUAAAACUCAAAUGAAUUGACG
This 833-nucleotide ribosomal RNA is filed under the name uncultured bacterium. RNAcentral describes it as "bacterial SSU rRNA". It matches the Rfam family "Bacterial small subunit ribosomal RNA", at positions 26 to 915 of the family's 1533-position model. The record is from RNAcentral.